AGAGUUUGAUCAUGGCUCAGAACGAACGCUGGCGGAAUGCUUUACACAUGCAAGUCGAACGAGUACUUUUUACGAGUGGCGAACGGGUGAGUAACGCGUGGGAACCUACCUUGAGGUAAAGAAUAACUACAGGAAACUGUAGCUAAUACUUUAUGUGCCCUACGGGGGAAAGAUUUAUCGCCUUUUGAGGGGCCCGCGUCAGAUUAGCUUGUUGGUGAGGUAAUGGCUUACCAAGGCAUUGAUCUGUAGCUGGUUUGAGAGGAUGAUCAGCCACAUUGGGACUGAGACACGGCCCUGACUCCUACGGGAGGCAGCAGUGGGGAAUCUUGGACAAUGGGGGAAACCCUGAUCCAGCAAUUCCGCGUGAAUGAUGAAGGCCUUAGGGUUGUAAAGUUCUUUUAGUAAGGAAGAUGAUGACGGUACUUACAGAAAAAGCUCCGGCUAACUCCGUGCCAGCAGCCGCGGUAAUACGGAGGGGGCAAGCGUUGUUCGGAAUUACUGGGCGUAAAGAGCGAGCAGGUGGUUCAUUAAGUCAAUUGUGAAAGCUCAAGGCUUAACCUUGAAAUUGCUUUUGAUACUGAUGAACUAGAGUUUGGGAGAGGAUAGUGGAAUUCUAAGUGUAGAAGUGAAAUUCGUAGAUAUUUAGAGGAACACCGAUAGCGAAGGCAACUAUCUGGCCCUUUACUGACACUCAGAAGCGAAAGCUUGGGUAGCAAACAGGAUUAGAUACCCUGGUAGUCCAUGCUGUAAACG
Molecule: ribosomal RNA, 753 nt
Filed under: marine metagenome
Description: bacterial SSU rRNA
Rfam family: Bacterial small subunit ribosomal RNA
Source: RNAcentral